AGUGAACGCUGGCGGUAGGCCUAACACAUGCAAGUCGAACGGCAGCACAGUAAGAGCUUGCUCUUACGGGUGGCGAGUGGCGGACGGGUGAGGAAUACAUCGGAAUCUACUUUUUCGUGGGGGAUAACGUAGGGAAACUUACGCUAAUACCGCAUACGACCUACGGGUGAAAGCAGGGGAUCUUCGGACCUUGCGCGAUUGAAUGAGCCGAUGUCGGAUUAGCUAGUUGGCGGGGUAAAGGCCCACCAAGGCGACGAUCCGUAGCUGGUCUGAGAGGAUGAGGAGGAAGACGGGAAGUGAGAGAGGGAGGAGAAUAAUACGUGAGCCAGCAGUGGGGAAUAGGGGACAAGGGGCGCAAGAAUGAUAAAGCCAUAAGGCGGGGGAGAAGAAGGAACGAGGGUUGCGAAGCUGUUGUGUGGGUAAAGAAAAAAAGCAGGUUAAUAAACAGCGGGUCUGAAGGUACCAAAAGAAUAAGCAAGGGCUAAUUGCGUG
This 492-nucleotide ribosomal RNA is filed under the name uncultured bacterium. RNAcentral describes it as "partial 16S ribosomal RNA". It matches the Rfam family "Bacterial small subunit ribosomal RNA", at positions 30 to 507 of the family's 1533-position model. The record is from RNAcentral.